Kogia breviceps (pygmy sperm whale) is the source of this 871-nucleotide RNA transcript. It is a transcript of the gene named retinol binding protein 1, with no coding region annotated. The record is from RefSeq and is a predicted model, not a curated record. NCBI's taxonomy places the organism in Eukaryota, Metazoa, Chordata, Mammalia, Artiodactyla, Physeteridae.
CCCGCUGGCUUUGUGCGCGCUUGCAAUCCAGCUGUCGCCGCCCCACGAGCCCUCGCCCCCACGAGGGCGCACAUUUCCGGGCCGCCCACCACCCAGGUCGCACCGCGAGCCCAGAUCUGCUCCCGCCCGCUCGGUCCCGGUCCGGCCCCAGUCGCCCCCUGAAAUGCCGGUCGACUUUACCGGGUACUGGAAGAUGCUGGCCAACGAGAAUUUCGAGGAGUACCUGCGCGCGCUGGAUGUCAAUGUGGCCUUGCGCAAAAUCGCCAACUUGCUGAAGCCAGACAAAGAGAUCGUGCAGAACGGCGACCACAUGAUCAUCCGAACGCUGAGCACUUUUAGGAACUACAUCAUGGACUUCCAGGUUGGGGAGGAGUUUGAGGAGGAUCUGACGGGCAUAGACGACCGCAAGUGCAUGACCACGGUGAGCUGGGACGGGGACAAGCUCGAGUGUGUGCAGAAGGGCGAGAAGGAGGGACGUGGCUGGACCCAGUGGAUUGAGGGUGACGAGCUGCACCUGGUCUAGGCUGACCCACUUGUCCAAUCAGAGGGAGGAGGUGAGGAGAUGCAUCUGCUAAGCAUGAGAUGUGGAGCAUUCUGUAUCUCUUUCCAUUGUCUCAGCAGCCCGAUGGGCCAGGAGAUGAGAGUGCAGGGUGUGGUCUGCAAGCAAGUAUUCAAAAAGGUGAACUGAAGCCUGAACAUACCUUAGUCUCGAGGAAUGAGUGGCAUGGCUGGAGAGGGGGGGCAGGGUCCCCCUCUCUGCAUAGCAUGGGGCAGAGAUACAGCCUGCAUCUGUUAGCAGAGUCUGUCUCCUGGCUUUGUCUCUUUCCCUUUUCUUAAAACGAAGCCAUCCCAAUAAAAGUGGUCUCUGCUC